GAAGCCCACCAGACUGUCGCUGGUGCAAUCUUGGAAACAAGGCACUGGAGGAACGUCCGGACUGCACAGGGCAGCGUAGCAGCUAACGGCUGUCCACUGAAAGCCGUGUACGAAAGUGCGCGGUAUAAGGUGAGGAUCAGAGCAACAGAGACGAGUCGAGCGCGGGGCAACCCGGGUUCGGGUGAAACGGGCAAUCUCUACGCGCAGCAAUACCAAGUAGGCACACGCUGAGCAGCGCAGUUCGCUGCGGUGUUCAACCCGGGGCCCCCGGGCUGUGUGCGGGUAGGUAGCACCGAGCCGUUGGGUGACCAACGGCCCAGAUUAAUGGCAGUCACAUUGGGGGCAACCUCAAUGCACAGAAUCCGGCUUAUCGGUGGGCUUCACAC
This 386-nucleotide RNase P RNA is filed under the name Rhodoferax sp. Its description in RNAcentral is "RNase P RNA component class A". It matches the Rfam family "Bacterial RNase P class A". From Rfam's summary of the family: Ribonuclease P (RNase P) is a ubiquitous endoribonuclease, found in archaea, bacteria and eukarya as well as chloroplasts and mitochondria. Its best characterised activity is the generation of mature 5'-ends of tRNAs by cleaving the 5'-leader elements of precursor-tRNAs. Lineage: Bacteria; Pseudomonadati; Pseudomonadota; Betaproteobacteria; Burkholderiales; Comamonadaceae. RNAcentral also lists the same sequence under 1 other name. The record is from RNAcentral.